RNAcentral lists this ribosomal RNA (433 nucleotides) under uncultured bacterium. RNAcentral describes it as "partial 16S ribosomal RNA". It matches the Rfam family "Bacterial small subunit ribosomal RNA", at positions 29 to 507 of the family's 1533-position model. The record is from RNAcentral.
AACGAACGCUGGCGGCAUGCCUAACACAUGCAAGUCGAACGAGACCUUCGGGUCUAGUGGCGCACGGGUGCGUAACGCGUGGGAACCUGCCCUUAGGUUCGGAAUAACUCCCCGAAAGGGGUGCUAAUACCGGAUAAUGUCUUCGGACCAAAGAUUUAUCGCCUUUGGAUGGGCCCGCGUUGGAUUAGCUAGUUGGUAGGGUAAAAGCCUACCAAGGCGACGAUCCAUAGCUGGUCUGAGAGGAUGAUCAGCCACACUGGGACUGCGACACGGCCCAGACUCCUACGGAAGGGAGCAGUGGGGAAUAUUGGAGAAGGGGCGAAAGCCUGAUCCAGCAAUGCCGCGUGAGUGAUGAAGGCCGUAGGGUUGUAAAGCUCUUUUACCCGGGAUGAUAAUGACGGUACCGGGAGAAUAAGCUCCGGCUAACUCCGUG